UACGUAGGGCGCGAGCGUGUCCGGAUUUAUUGGGCGUAAAGAGCUUGUAGGUGGUUUGUCGCGUCUGCUGUGAAAAUCCGAGGCUCAACCUCGGACUUGCAGUGGGUACGGGCAGACUAGAGUGUGGUAGGGGAGAUUGGAAUUCCUGGUGUAGCGGUGGAAUGCGCAGAUAUCAGGAGGAACACCGAUGGCGAAGGCGGAUCUCUGGGCCUGUUCUGACGCUGAGGCGCGAAAGCUAGGGGAGCGAACAGG
Molecule: ribosomal RNA, 252 nt
Filed under: uncultured bacterium
Lineage: Bacteria
Description: partial 16S ribosomal RNA
Rfam family: Bacterial small subunit ribosomal RNA
Source: RNAcentral